Molecule: ribosomal RNA, 1242 nt
Filed under: metagenome
Description: SSU rRNA
Rfam family: Eukaryotic small subunit ribosomal RNA
Source: RNAcentral
GAUCUCUUUGAGGCCCGUUAUCGGAAUGAGAACAAUUCAAAUCCUUUGACGAGGAUCUAGCGGAGGGGUAGUCUGGUGCCAGCAGCCGCGGUAAUUCCAGCUCCGCAGGUGUAUAUAUAUGCUGCUGCGGUUAAAAAGCUCGUAGUUGGAUCUGCGUGCUCGGAACUGGUUGGCUCACUGGGUUCAAACUGGUCUCCGGCGCUUUAUUGCUGGUUUUCCCUUGAUGCUCUUAACCGGGUGUCUUGGGUGGCUAGCACGUUUACCUUGAAAAAAUUAGAGUGCUCAAUACAGGCGUAAAGCCUUGAAUAGUGGUGCAUGGAAUAAUAGAAUAGGACCUCGGCUCUAUUCUGUUGGUUUUCGGAACGCGAGGUAAUGAUUAAGAGGGACAGACGGGGCAUUCGUAUUGCGACGUUAGAGGUGAAAUUCUUGGAUCGUCGCAAGACGGACGACUGCGAAAGCAUUAGCCAAGAAUGUUUUCAUUAAUCAAGAACGAAAGUUAGAGGUUCGAAGGCGAUCAGAUACCGCCCUAGUUCUAACCGUAAACGAUGCCAACUAGCGAUUCGCAGGCGUUAAACAACGACCUUGCGGGCAGCUUCCCGGAAACGAAAGUGUUCGGGUUCCGGGGGAAUAUGGUUGCAAAGCUGAAACUUAAAGGAAUUGACGGAAGGGCACCACCAGGAGUGGAGCCUGCGGCUUAAUUUGACCCAACACGGGAAAACUCACCCGGCCCGGACACCGUAAGGAUUGACAGAUUGAGAGCUCUUUCUUGAUUCGGUGGGUGGUGGUGCAUGGCCGUUCUUAGUUGGUGGAGCGAUUUGUCUGGUUUAUUCCGAUAACGAACGAGACUCUGGCCUACUAAAUAGUGGGCGGAUUCUUUCUGUCCGCAACACUUCUUAGAGGGACAAGCGGUGUUCAGCCGCACGAGAUUGAGCAAUAACAGGUCUGUGAUGCCCUUAGAUGUCCGGGGCUGCACGCGCGCUACACUGAAGGAAUCAGCGUGCUUUCUGACCUUGCCCGAAAGGGCUGGGUAACCCGAUGAAAAUCCUUCGUGAUUGGGAUAGGGACUUGCAAUUAUUUCUCUUGAACGAGGAAUUCCCAGUAAGUGUGGGUCAUAGGCUCGCGUUGAUUACGUCCCUGUCCUUUGUACACACCGCCCGUCGCUGCCCGGAACUGAGCCGUUUCGAGAAGAACAGGGACCGUCGUUGAAGGGCCUUAACGGGCUUUUCUCUGAUAGAAACUGUU